GUAGGUGGCAAGCGUUGUCCGGAAUUAUUGGGCGUAAAGCGCGCGCAGGCGGUCCUUUAAGUCUGAUGUGAAAGCCCGCGGCUCAACCGUGGAGGGUCAUUGGAAACUGGGGGACUUGAGUACAGAAGAGGAAAGCGGAAUUCCAAGUGUAGCGGUGAAAUGCGUAGAGAUUUGGAGGAACACCAGUGGCGGAGGCGGCUUUCUGGUCUGUAACUGACGCUGAGGCGCGAAAGCGUGGGGAGCAAACAGGAUUAGAUACCCUGGUAGUCCACGCCGUAAACGAUGAGUGCUAAGUGUUAGGGGGUUUCCCGCCCCCUUAGUGCUGCAGCUAACGCAUUAAGCACUCCGCCUGGGGAGUACGGCCGCAAGGCUG
This 373-nucleotide ribosomal RNA is filed under the name uncultured organism. Its description in RNAcentral is "partial 16S ribosomal RNA". It matches the Rfam family "Bacterial small subunit ribosomal RNA", at positions 527 to 896 of the family's 1533-position model. The record is from RNAcentral.